AAAAAAUUGGGAAAAAAAGAUGACAUCUUCAGCUGUAAAUUUGGUGAUGACAGUGAUUGGGUUUACAGUGAGCAUUAUAUUCAUAGUAUUUGUGUGUACAAGGUUAAUUUGUGCAAGAAUUCAGUAUUUGACAAGGAGGAGGUCUUCUGCAUAUACUUCUAGAUCUGAUCUUAGCAUUUUGGAACGUGGUUUACAUGGGCUGG
This 203-nucleotide unclassified non-coding RNA is filed under the name Hevea brasiliensis (rubber tree). Lineage: Eukaryota; Viridiplantae; Streptophyta; Magnoliopsida; Malpighiales; Euphorbiaceae. The record is from RNAcentral.